Molecule: transfer RNA, 66 nt
Filed under: Agnesiella aldera
Lineage: Eukaryota; Metazoa; Arthropoda; Insecta; Hemiptera; Cicadellidae
Also listed under: 2 other names
Description: tRNA-Trp
Source: RNAcentral
AAGACUUUAAGUUAAUAAAACUAUUAGCCUUCAAAGUUGAAAAUAUUAGGUAAAUUUUAAGUCUUA